RNAcentral lists this unclassified non-coding RNA (216 nucleotides) under uncultured Tomentella. RNAcentral's name for it is "sequence contains ITS2". The record is from RNAcentral. Lineage: Eukaryota; Fungi; Basidiomycota; Agaricomycetes; Thelephorales; Thelephoraceae.
ACACCUCAACUCCCAUGGUUCGCCAUGGUGAGCUUGGACUCUGGGGGUUUUGCUGGCCUGCGGUCAGCUCCUCUCAAAUGAAUCAGCUCGCCGGUGUUUGGUGGCGUCACAAGUGUGAUAACUAUCUACGCCUGUGAUUGUCCACCAGGUAACCUUCAGCAAUGGAGGUUCACUGGGGCUCACAGACGUCUCUCCUCGGUGAGGACAGCUUUGAAC